UGGUUGAUCCUACCUAGUCUUUCAUAGGCUU
RNAcentral lists this non-coding RNA (31 nucleotides) under Rattus norvegicus (Norway rat). Lineage: Eukaryota; Metazoa; Chordata; Mammalia; Rodentia; Muridae. The record is from RNAcentral.